GCCUGAAGCCUCCAGCAGUCCAGUCGCAGUUCUCCAGCUUCUACCUCGGGUCUCUUCAACAUCUUGACGUCCUCCCUCGUAAAGCAUCAAAUACAUAAGCUAAUAUAGGUAGUAUUUAUACAUAUAUAGAAAUGACAGUAAUCCAACUAA
This is a long non-coding RNA of Dalotia coriaria, 150 nucleotides long. RefSeq lists it as uncharacterized. The transcript has 2 exons. NCBI's taxonomy places the organism in Eukaryota, Metazoa, Arthropoda, Insecta, Coleoptera, Staphylinidae. The record is from RefSeq and is a predicted model, not a curated record.